AUUGAACGCUGGCGGCAUGCCUAACACAUGCAAGUCGAGCGAGCGGCGGACGGGUGAGUAAUGUCUGGGAAACUGGCUGAUGGAGGGGGAUAACUACUGGAAACGGUAGCUAAUACCGCAUACCCUCAGAUGUGCCCAGAUGGGAUUAGCUAGUAGGGGGGGUAACGGCUCACCUAGGCGACGAUCCCUAGCUGGUCUGAGAGGAUGACCCGCCACACUGGAACUGAGACACGGUCCAGACGCCUACGGGAGGCAGCAGUGGGGAAUAGUGCACAAUGGGCGCAAUCCUGAUGCAGCCAUGCCGCGUGUAUGAAGAAGGCCUUCGGGUUGUAAAGUACUUUCAGCGGGGAGGCGUUACCCGCAGAAGAAGCACCGGCUAACUCCGUGCCAGCAGCCGCGGUAAUUC
RNAcentral lists this ribosomal RNA (406 nucleotides) under uncultured bacterium. RNAcentral's name for it is "partial 16S ribosomal RNA". It matches the Rfam family "Bacterial small subunit ribosomal RNA", at positions 30 to 526 of the family's 1533-position model. The record is from RNAcentral.